AGGACACAUCUGUGAUUUCUGGCAUUAUAUUAUACAACUACGCAUAAUUAAAGCUUAUAAUUAAUCAUAAAUGCGAUUUGUGCUAUUAUAGCUAAUGUACCUACUUACAAAUAAUUUAGAAACUCUACUUAUGACUCAGUGAUUCUAAACUAUAUAAAACAUAAUCAUAAACAAGAAAAAUACUUUAAUAUCUAAUACAUUUUAGUGAUAGGCCGUUUCAUACGCAAUAUUUCGAGCACUAUUCAUAGUGCAUGAACUGAGAAAAACAACCCACAAGUUAUAUUUCCUAACUCUUAGAUUCAAUGUUGCUAAAAUUAUGAACCUAUUUAGCUAUGGACUGUUCAUCUGGCGUUUUCUUUCAGAUUGCUUUGGAAAUAGGCGUCCUUUGCUACUUGGAAAAGUAGGGCCGCGUUCUUCUCUCCAGUCUCCUUGACCAUGGAGCUGAAGUGGCUGUUAGGGUCACUGAGGAGGAUGUAGGGAUGCUCGAACUCGAGGACGCGGCCGAAGCUCAUGACCAGAACGCGGUCCGACUCCAUGAUGGUGUUGAGACGAUGAGCAAUGGUGUAACAACGUGACGUAAUACUCACUGUGGGUCAACAUUAGCGGUGGCUUCGUCCAUAAUCAAUAUUUUGUUGGACCUGAGCACAGCCCGAGCCAAGCACAUGAGCUGUCGCUGCCCAACGGAGAAGUUCGAUCCACCUUCCGUCACUUUGAAGUCCAAUGAUGGCACAGCAGAUUUCAUGUCCACCUAAAAGUAAAACGUUAAAAAUUGUUAAAUCAAAAUAAAACAAACAUUUACA
Long non-coding RNA from Ostrinia furnacalis (Asian corn borer), 800 nucleotides. RefSeq lists it as uncharacterized. The record is from RefSeq and is a predicted model, not a curated record. The transcript is spliced from 2 exons. NCBI's taxonomy places the organism in Eukaryota, Metazoa, Arthropoda, Insecta, Lepidoptera, Crambidae.